Molecule: long non-coding RNA, 359 nt
Filed under: Gossypium raimondii (Peruvian cotton)
Lineage: Eukaryota; Viridiplantae; Streptophyta; Magnoliopsida; Malvales; Malvaceae
Description: long non-coding RNA (GRAI_LNC007647)
Source: RNAcentral
ACUGAUUAUAAGAAAAAUUCCCAAAUUAAUUAGGUGAUCACUCCAAUUGAGUUAGAAAAAUUCCUUGGAAAAUAAAACCAAACAACUCAAGAGUGCCGAAUUUGAUUUGAUAACAAAAUAAUUUUUUUCAAAGUACUAGUGCCCGGUUUCAGAAGUGUCGAACUAAGCUUAACUAAACUAGCCUCUCAUAGCUAGCAAAACAGAACACGAAUCCAUUGAAAAGAACAUGAAUUACAAACUGAUUCUUGGAAGGCAAAGUUCUUCAAGUCGUCCGAUUUCCCUUCUCCUAAUUAGCUGAAUUUUCUAGCUGCUACUCUAGCUCCUUGAUCGGAUUCGCUGGCCCAAUUUUUAGAAAAUUC